RNAcentral lists this long non-coding RNA (522 nucleotides) under Bos taurus (domestic cattle). Its description in RNAcentral is "long non-coding RNA NONBTAT024530". Lineage: Eukaryota; Metazoa; Chordata; Mammalia; Artiodactyla; Bovidae. The record is from RNAcentral.
AAGGUUUAACUUACACUUUUAUUUUUAUGUUCAGUAAAGAAUCUGUGUCUUACACUUGUGACCAAUGAAAACAAUGGUUAUUACAAAAAUUGAGUGAAAUUCUAUAAUUGAUGUGAAGGUUCAAUAGAAAGCUUGUUAAAUUUUAUUCAGAAGUAUACCAAAAAUAUAUAGAUGUUGAAUUUUACUAAUGAUGGUAAGAUGAGCAGUUCAUUGGAUCAUUUCCUGGUUCUAAUUUUCAUCUAGCACAUUUCUAAACAUUUUUUUUUGCAAUAUCUUUAUUAUUUCAAGUAAUUUAUAUAUUGUUUUUCUUCUAUCAGCUGAGAUAAUCAGAGACAAUGCAAUUUGAAUUUGGGGAAGAAGAGCAUCACAUACAUUCCCACUGCUGCAUCACACCCAGCAGGAGUCUUCAUUAUGUUUCCACACUGUCCCAUAUAAAGUAGUCUUCAGUCUCUUGGUAUCACAAACAUAUGUGCACUUAGCUACUUUCCUCCCUCCUAAAUAAACAUACAAAUUGGGGGAGAG